AAAAAAUAUAUGUCAUUGCUUUGACUUAGAGCCAAUAUGAUGUUUAUCAUUACAAUACUUCUCAUAGCUGCUGCAGCAAACUGCGAUGACUCUGCGAGGCGUAGAGUUAAAUGUGAAUCCAGCAACGACUGUUUCUUCAUAUGCGACCAAAGCUGUAUUGAACCCAUAACAGCUAUUUGCCAGACUCACAUGUGUUAUUGCGGAGUCACUUAUCUGACUUAAAUAAAAUUCAGGUAAAAUAAAACUAACAUCUCGAUAUAUACCCUCCCUUAUAACAUAAAAUAAUAAAUUUAAACAGUGUCAUAUGUCGUAAAAAAAAAGUGGAUACUGUUUUUACUAGAAAUAAAUUGAAAUAAUAUAA
Molecule: long non-coding RNA, 361 nt
Organism: Danaus plexippus (monarch butterfly)
Lineage: Eukaryota; Metazoa; Arthropoda; Insecta; Lepidoptera; Nymphalidae
Exons: 2
Source: RefSeq, a predicted model, not a curated record